CAAGACUUUUAAAGGAGUAGAGAUGGGCAGUGAAAUGUGGAUUCUCUGGGAUCUGGAGCUGACGCAUCUGGAAGAUAACAAUUUAGAGAAUAGAAGGAAAAAAGAGCCAACAGCUGAGAGCAGGAAUUCUCCUCAGCACCCUGCUAAUCACUCUUGCCUCCUGCUGGCUUCUCACCUCCACCAACAAGUGUGCCAGACAGUGCACUGUCCAGUGACUGUGAGGACCCCACCAAGGUACAAGCUAAUCUUCGACCUGUUUCUCCAUGGAGAUUGCUUUCCCUGAGCACAUUUUUGGGACAGCAUAAAUGUUUUAGGUCUGAGCACCCAGCAUUCCUAGUCUCGCCUAUGGCCUUCCUUUCGAUGAAUACAAGGCUUUGUCUUAAUCAGCA
RNAcentral lists this long non-coding RNA (389 nucleotides) under Chinchilla lanigera (long-tailed chinchilla). Its description in RNAcentral is "lncRNA (ENSCLAG00000029243.1)". Lineage: Eukaryota; Metazoa; Chordata; Mammalia; Rodentia; Chinchillidae. The record is from RNAcentral.